Ictalurus punctatus (channel catfish) is the source of this 5697-nucleotide long non-coding RNA. The record is from Ensembl. Lineage: Eukaryota; Metazoa; Chordata; Actinopteri; Siluriformes; Ictaluridae.
GAAUCAUGUGUAAGAAUCACAUUUGGAAAUAAACGAAUCAUGUAUAAGAGUCACACAUUGGAAAUGAGCAAAUCAUGUAUAAGAGUCACAUUUGGAAAUAAGCAAAUCAUGUAUAAGAGUCACAUUUGGAAAUAAACGAAUCGUGCAAGAAUCACAUACGGAACUAAACGAAUCAUGUAUAAGAGUCAUGUGGAAAUAAACGAAUCAUGUGCAAGAAUCACAUUUGGAAAUAAACGAAUCAUGUAUAAGAGUCAUGUGGAAAUAAAAGAAUCAUGUAUAAGAAUCAUGUGGAAAUAACUGAGUCAUGUGCAAGAAUCACAUUUGGAAAUGAAGGAAUCAUGUAUAAGAAUGACAUGCGGAAACAACUGAACCAUGUAUAAUUACAUUCCAGCUUGUUCAAGAACUUCCGCUAUGUCAGCGUUACACGCUUUAUCAGACUCGACAUCGAAAGUGAAGGGGACAGCAGGAAAUAAAAAGCACAGACAGAAAUAAAAAAAAGCUUUAACGAGCUGAUGCAUGGGUGGAAAGGAGGAAGUGAAAUAAAAUGAAAAGGAAGUGAGUACAUUUGUGGUCUACUCAGAUCACGCAAGUGCACGGGGUGAAGAAUGUUCAAAAUAAUUUAUUUAAAAAAAUAAAUACAUAAAUAAAAGCUGAGGUGGUUUCUCGGAUGAACGGCCUCCGAAACGAUAACGCAAGGAAAAGUACUACAGAGAAAAGCCAAGGCAAAGAAACCCAGCGGAAGCAGAAGCGCUCGUUUUAUUAUUCUUUACAGCCUGGACAGUCUGCUUUUAGAGAAUCAUUCGUAUACCGAUUGUUUGAACCCGGGGAAAAAAGUACAAUUUUAGAAGAACAAUCGCGGGGUUCAAAACUAAAAGUGUAAACUCCUAACAAAAUCAAAAUGAUAAUUUAUAUAUAGCACACAUCAUAGUCACAAAAUCAACCUCCCUCAAAGCUCCUCAAGUCGACCUGACGGCGAAUAAUAACCAGAAAAACUCCAAUAUAUGUUACUGUAUUCAUGUGGUACUGUUAUUAUAGCUAAAGUUAGCCAUGACCUGCUCGGAUAAUCGCACACGGCUAGCAUUCCCAAGCGCAGAGCUAAAUUUACAGAAAGCCAUUAGCCGCUAGCGCACACCUGUCUCAAUCUGUAAUGCCUAGCAAACACGACGGAUCUCUUACUGCUAACAUCGGCACAUGCUAAUAUUACAGUAGGGCUUUUUGAUCCAGGGCUUCUAUAGCUACAGCCCAAAAAGCCCAUAAUGCUCUGAUAUAUGGCUCAGCAACCAUGCUAAUUCUGCUAGUCUACAAUGUGCUUGGGUACAGUGAUAUGUGGUUCGGGACGUAGCCCAUGAUAGUUUAACUGGAGCAGUUUGGAUUACUUGACUUCGGAAUAUUUCGACACAACACACAUUUAUGGAAAUAAUUGGAAAAUAAUUUGCAUUUGUUUAAUAAAUAUAUAUGUAAAAAAAGAGCUUAUAAUAUAAUUAAAGAAUACUGUAAUGAAGAGAAGGGAUUUUAUAACCAACACUUUUUUUUUUAAUCAGGUGAAGUACAGAAUUAAAAAAAAAUUAAAAUAAAUAAAUAAAUAGAUAAAUAAAAAGGUCCUAAAACGGAGCCUAGAGGAAUGCCGACUGCCUUUUCUACACAUCCGACAAUACAAAUUAUAUACAGUUUAACCAAUUACACUACAGGAGUGAAUUUCAUUUAACACAAAAAAAAAAUGUAAAGAAGAAAUGGAGCUGUUAUUAGAAUAGAAUUAAAUAAUCUGAAUUAAUUCGAAUGAUUUUUUUUUGGAUUGCAAAUAGAAGCUGUGGCAAACAAAGGCAAAGUGUAAGUGCAGAGAAUUUCCACUGCCUGACCUAUUUCGGACUAGUUUCAGGUGCGUUUGUGAGGCUGAUGCAGUUGGGAGGAGAUCUGGCAACCCUGUCCCGGAUCCCUCGGAGGGAUUUUAAAUGGGUCGCCUUUUCAUUUUAUCGGCGUCAGCCUCUUCGGCCUGUCGUCGCUCGUUUAGCCUUGGCUACAUCCCACAAUCGAUGGUACUCAACACCACAGAGAGGUGAAUUUGAGAUUAAGGCGUGGUGUCAGUACGAGGCAGAAGAUACACUUGGUGUCAGCAUCAAUGUAAACUUCAAACCGGGGCUGGUGGAAUAUGAGGAUAAUACGGAUAUCAUGAAUAUAGCUGUUUUUUAAGCAGUAUUUUCAUGGCCAUGGUCGGUGUUUGAUGUUGCUUUAAUGGAGAAAGUUGGCCUUAGUAAGCAUUUCUAUAAAGACUUAUUUUUUGGUGGUAUUUUCAUUGAGAAUGUUGGGGUGUGAAGGCGUUUUAAUGAAGAACGUUGGUAUUUAUAGGCCUUUUAGAAAGAAUCUUGCUUAUUAGUGGCAUUUUCAUGGCCAUUGUUGGCGUUUCAUUUGGCUUUCAUGGAGAAUUCGGGUGUUUGAAGGUGUUUUAAUGAAGAAAGCUAGUGUUAGUAGGUCUUUUGUGAAGAACAUUGAUUUUUUUUCUUUCUUUUUCCCAUUGGCGUUAUUGGUGUACGAUGGUCUCAGUGGAGAAUAUUGGUGUAUGAAGGUGAUCUAACGGAGAAGGCCGGUGUUUAUUGGCGUCUUUAAAGAUGGUGACGGUGUUAAUGGAGAACGUCGGUGUUUGAAGGUGUUUUCGUGAAAAACAGCUGUUUCCUCGGCAUUUGUUGGUGAAAGUCCGUGUUAAAGAAGCUGGUUUUCUGAUGGUGGGUCUUACCAGGACUUUUACUUUUAAAUACUCGAGUACUAUUAUUUUUAUACUACCGGUCAUCCUCCCACUUAAUUGUGAUGAACAUUUUAACUGUGAAGCCACGUGGUGAAGAGUCGUGUAGUUAAAACGCUGCUCAGUAAGAACAGCUUAGAGCCAAAAGGGCAUUCAUUUCUGAAACACAAUCAUCAUCAUAAACACCAUUAUCCUAAUAAAUGUAAGUCUGCCGGAGUUUGAGCCGAAAACAAACAUCAGCUUCCGAGAGUAAUAGCUGGUAGGAGGCAGGAGAACAGAACGACUUUGUAAUUUGUAGGAAGUUGGCGUCGUUAGCGUGCUCGUCGUGUUCAGGCUGCUGAUUUUUACUGCCCUGCUGAGGACCACUCGCAGACAAUAAUUACCAAAUACUGCAGAGCGCUCCACAGCUCUGAAAAUAAGAUCACCCUGGUUCUUAUUUUUUUCAUUUUGCCUUUACAGCCCAUUAACUCCACACUCACACACUAAUUAGGAAGCCAUCACUACCAUUUUCACACUCGCUAGAAUUAAUCAGGAUCGAAACACUGCCCCGGUCCGAAAAAACGAACAAGUAAAUAAACAAACUUCUGAAGCAUAUAACGGGGGGGGCGGGGGGUUUAGAUGUGUGAAGUGUCUGAGCCACGGGAUGUGCCCUGAACAUGGAGGCUCCUGCUGUAGCUCGCUAUUCCUAACAAGAGGAAGAUAUGGAGUGAGUGAGAGUGACGUGCUCCAUUACAGACCCUCAACUCCGGCGUCUGGAUGAUGAUCACAGACUCCUCGGACUAAAGCAUUACUGUAUUUAUAUAUUAAAAAUAAUAAUUUCUUGAUGAGAGCCGGUGAUUUUCUCUCUGUAGAUCAUGAUCUAUUCAGUGGGUUCUCCUCGUCUAAACUUUGCCUAACAAUACAGAGCUAAAUACGAUUCGGUUAUUUUCAUAUUACUUUAAAAAAAAAAAAAAAAAACCCUAGGUACGGAUAAUGAGAUUUAUUAGCUUGUUUUUUUUAAAAAAAAAAAAAAAAAAAAAAAAAAAAAAAACCACAUAAGAAACAGCACAUCUCUUUCAUUAUAUUUUAUUUGAAGCUGGUCAUAUCAACGUGUCGCAGGACGGACUUUCCCCUUUAAAUUAAAUUCACAAUUUAUUCAGAACUCAUGCAAGGUAUUAAAAAAAUAAUAUCCUACACAUUCUCACAAAGCUUCAUGGGAAAAAAAAAAAAAAAAAAACCCCCGUGAGGAAGCGAGAAACGUCUGACGCCUCAGUCAGAAUCAGUGUGUUUACCCUUUAAGCCUAAUUCUCUGGAAACCCUGUAUAAUCCACACACUGACUUACAGUACAGAAGUGAACAUCUGACCAUAAAGCACAGGCGUGUGAAUGACGGCGUUCUGCUGGACAGCGGUGGUGUUUGAAGGGAAAACGGUGGUGAUAGCUGGCUUUUUAUAAAGAAGGGUUUUGUUUUUUAUUGGUGGCAUUUUCAUAGAAAACUGUAGAAGGUAUAUAGAGGUGUAGAAGGUGUAUAAAGAUGGAGAAGGUGUAUAGAGGAGAAGGUGUACAGAGGUGUAGAAGGGGUACAGAGGUGUAGAAGGGGUACAGAGGUGUAGAAGGUGUAUAAAGAUGGAGAAGGUGUAUAGAGGAGAAGGUGUACAGAGGUGUAGAAGGGGUACAGAGGUGUAGAAGGUGUAUAAAGAUGGAGAAGGUGUAUAGAGGAGGAGGUGUAUAGAGGUGGAGAAGGUAUAGACCAUGUAGAAGGUGUUUUGAUGGAGAAUGUUGCUGCUUGACGGUACAUGUCGGGGUAUUAUAGUGUUCUAAUGAAGAACAUUGGUUUUUCAUGAGGUUUUCAUGCUUGUUUUUGGUGAUCGAGGGUAUUUUAGUGGGUGUUUUAGAGGAAAAUGUCGGUGUUGGCCGUUUUUUAAAGAAUCUUAGUUUUAUCGUGUCAUUUUCCUGGAGAAUGCUGGUGCUUAAAGGCUUUUUAAAUGAAAACGCUGCUGCUAGUACGCCGUUUGUAAUGAUUUUGGUGAUAUUUUCAUUGGGGGCGUUGGUGUUUCCUGAACUUUCAUACCGAAUGUUGCCGUUUCGUAGUAUUUUCACGGCCGUUGUUGGUGUCUGAUGUUGGUUUAAUGGAGAAAGUCGGUGUUAAUAUGCCUUUUAUAAGAAUGUGGGUUUUUGGUGGUAUUUCCAUGGCGAUUGUUGGUGUUUUAAUGAAAGCGCUGGUGUUACUGAGUCUUUCUAUAAAGAAUGUUGAUCUCUGGUGACAUCUUCAGGGAGAACGUUGGCGUGUCGUUAUGUUUUAAUGGAGAAUGUCGGUAUUUGAAGGUGCUUUAAUGAAAAACGUCAGUGCGAGUAGGUCUUUUUCGUAAAUUGUAUUGUAUUUUCAUUGGAAUCGUUGGUGUAUCGAUGGCCUUCAGUGGAGAACGUUGGGGCUUGAAGCGAUUUUAACGAAGAAUGUUGUAGCUUUCAGAAAGAAUUAUGGUUUGUGGUGGUAUUUUGAAGGACGACGCAGGUGUCUGUCGGCCAUUUUAACUGUAAACGUUGGCGUUUGAUAUAGUUUUACUGGAGACUGUUGGUGUUUGAAGGUGUGCAGAUGAAAAAAACGUAGCUGGGCUUUGUUAAAGGAUUGGUCAGCGCCGGGUUUUAAAACGCGACCGAGAUUUCAGACCGUGAAACUACGGAAGUCAGUUUGACCUCAGAGUAUUUUUAUUUAGCUUUAACGUGCGCAGAGAUCCCAGUUUCCAAAAACGCUAAUCUGAUUGGAGAGUGUGAGAACAGCAGAGUUUCCGGCAACUAGCUUCUCCAACCGGCAAACGUCUGAGAAGACGACCUAGAACAAAAUAAAAUUAACAAAACAAAAGAAAUAUAAAUUUUCGCUUCUCCACGCAUGCAUUACUCUAUGACUCUAAAGACAUCAAGAGUCGACACAUGAGAAUCCCCGAGGAAUCUAGCCACAAGUAAAUGCUAUAAAUUAGCACAAAGCCC